CAGUAGCCACGGUAAUACGUAGGGCGCAAGCGUUAUCCGGAAUUAUUGGGCGUAAAGAGCUCGUAGGCGGUUUGUCGCGUCUGCCGUGAAAGUCCGGGGCUCAACCCCGGAUCUGCGGUGGGUACGGGCAGACUAGAGUGAUGUAGGGGAGACUGGAAUUCCUGGUGUAGCGGUGAAAUGCGCAGAUAUCAGGAGGAACACCGAUGGCGAAGGCAGGUCUCUGGGCAUUAACUGACGCUGAGGAGCGAAAGCAUGGGGAGCGAACAGGAUUAGAUACCCCUGUAGUCCCUGUCUCUUAUAA
This 301-nucleotide ribosomal RNA is filed under the name uncultured bacterium. RNAcentral's name for it is "partial 16S ribosomal RNA". It matches the Rfam family "Bacterial small subunit ribosomal RNA", at positions 509 to 809 of the family's 1533-position model. The record is from RNAcentral.